Quercus lobata is the source of this 1577-nucleotide RNA transcript. It is a transcript of the gene named protein DETOXIFICATION 1-like, with no coding region annotated. The record is from RefSeq and is a predicted model, not a curated record. The transcript is spliced from 3 exons. Lineage: Eukaryota; Viridiplantae; Streptophyta; Magnoliopsida; Fagales; Fagaceae.
GUAAAACGGUUUAACCUAAAGGCAAGGAAUAAAGUGUAUUUUAUAAAAUAAUAAAAGUAGGACUAAAACUCAUUUUCAUUCUUAGACUUUCAGCAAGAAAGCAAUCAGCAAAGUGCAUCCUAAUGCACUAUCUAUUUUUUGUGUUGGUAGAGCUCAAGCUUCUUGACAAGCAUGAUUGAACUUGAUUAACUUGACUAAAACUAACAACCUAAAAUCUGUUUAUUUACUUAUACAAAUUAGUUAAUCAAAAGAAUAAUUCUUUGUCAAAUGCCUAUCAAAUCUAUAGUUAUUGUUGUUGUUUUCAUCAUUAUAUCAUUGUUAUUAUGUUACCAUAGAUGUCGGCUAGUAUGAGAAUCUUAAAUGUCAGAUUAAUGAAUAUAAUUCAAUCAUGAUGAUAAGUGAAUUUUUGUGACCGCUAAGCAGUGCGGGAUGGCUGGUGCAUUAGAGACUUUAUGCGGACAAGCCUAUGGAGCAGACAAAUUACUAUCCUAUGCACUAGAGACUUUUUGUGACCGCUAAUCAUCAUCUCUCUUAUUCUGGUUUGUAUCCCUAUAUAUAUCCUAUGGAUAUUCAAAGACAAAUUACUAAUACUCAUAGGACAAGAUCCAACAAUCUCACAUAUAGCAGACAUACUGUGUAUGCCUCAUCCCUAACCUGUUUGCAUAAGCUAUACUUCAGCCACUAAUUUGCUUUUACCAGAUUCAGAGCCUGAUCCUUCCAGUGCUCUUUAGUUCAUUUGCAGCUCUAUGUUUCCAUAUACCUUUUUGUUGGAUUCUCGUUUUUAAAUCAAAAUUUGGAAGCAGUGCAGCUGCAUUAGCCUCUGCUUCAUCAUAGUUGUUGGAUGUGCUCAUGCUUGGGGUAUACAUGAAGUACUCUUUUGCUUGUGAGAAAACUCGUCCCGUAUUCUCAAAGGAUGUCUUCUUUAGCAUGAGGGAGUUAUUUUUGCUUUGCUGUUGCUUUGGCUGCAAUGGUUUGGUAAUUUUCUAUUUUGUUCUUUCUUUCAAGAUUUUUGUAGUAUUCAUUUUUUGGCUACAUGUAUUGAGUCUCUUAGCAUUUUUCUGCAUGCCAAUCAUAAUCCUCUUGAUGGUGGUCGUUUGAGGGUCUUAUUUUGCUUUCUGGGCUUUUACCUAAUCCAAAAUUGGAGACUUUAGUGCUUUCGCUAUGUAAGGUUGAGUUGGGAGCUGGGAAUGCACAAGCAGCUAAAUGACUGUUAUAAUGGUUCUUGUAGUUGCAGAGAUUUAUUGUAGCCGUGAUUCUCUUCUUCUGCCAUAAUGUUUUGGUCUAUGCCUUUCGCAGUAAGAAGGAAAUUGCAGAUAUGGGUCCUUUGCUUUGUCUCUCAAUAGUCAUCUUUCAGGGUCCCUAGAGGAAGUGGCUGGCAGGAUAUUGGAGCCUAUGUAAAUCUUGAGGCAUAUUAUUUGGUUGGGGUUCCAGUAGGUGUUGUUUUGGCCUUCGUUGUACACUUGAAAGGAAAGGGUCUUUGGAUUGGAUUACUGACAGGGUCUACUGUAGAAGCAUUUCUGCUUGCUCUUAAAACUAUUUUCACAAAUUGGGAAAAACAUGUUACUAGUACCAAAAAA